ACAGUGCCGGGGGAAGCUGCAAUGAGUCCUCAGCUCUGGGCCCAGUGGAGGCGCUGGGGACGGAAGAAGGGGAGCGGCCGGGGUCACUGAGGCAGAUGUGGCGCUACCGCUCCUGGGACGUGCCACAGAUCCCAUCAGAGGCACCCCAGACACAGAAAGCCAUCACCAAGUCGGGCCUCCAGCACCUGGCCCCCCCUCCGCCCACCCCUGGGGCCCCGUGCAGCGAGUCAGAGCGGCAGAUCCGGAGUACAGUGGACUGGAGCGAGUCAGCGACAUAUGGGGAGCACAUCUGGUUCGAGACCAACGUGUCCGGGGACUUCUGCUACGUUGGGGAGCAGUACUGUGUAGCCAGGAUGCUGCAGAAGUCAGUGUCUCGAAGAAAGUGCGCAGCCUGCAAGAUUGUGGUGCACACGCCCUGCAUUGAGCAGCUGGAGAAGAUAAAUUUUCGCUGUAAGCCGUCCUUCCGUGAAUCAGGCUCCAGGAAUGUCCGCGAGGGAUUCCAGCAGAAGUUCACCUUCCACAGCAAGGAGAUUGUGGCCAUCAGCUGCUCGUGGUGCAAGCAGGCAUACCACAGCAAGGUGUCCUGCUUCAUGCUGCAGCAGAUCGAGGAGCCGUGCUCGCUGGGGGUCCACGCAGCCGUGGUCAUCCCGCCCACCUGGAUCCUCCGCGCCCGGAGGCCCCAGAAUACUCUGAAAGCAAGCAAGAAGAAGAAGAGGGCAUCCUUCAAGAGGAAGUCCAGCAAGAAAGGGCCUGAGGAGGGCCGCUGGAGACCCUUCAUCAUCAGGCCCACCCCCUCCCCCCUCAUGAAGCCCCUGCUGGUGUUUGUGAACCCCAAGAGUGGGGGCAACCAGGGUGCAAAGAUCAUCCAGUCUUUCCUCUGGUAUCUCAAUCCCCGACAAGUCUUCGACCUGAGCCAGGGAGGGCCCAAGGAGGCGCUGGAGAUGUACCGCAAAGUGCACAACCUGCGGAUCCUGGCGUGCGGGGGCGACGGCACGGUGGGCUGGAUCCUCUCCACCCUGGACCAGCUACGCCUGAAGCCACCACCCCCUGUUGCCAUCCUGCCCCUGGGUACUGGCAACGACUUGGCCCGAACCCUCAACUGGGGUGGGGUAAGCACCCAUAGGAGGGGGGUGCAGCUGGGGCCUCUCCAGCCACAGAGGGCUCAGUCCCUGCCUGCUCCCCCAGGGCUACACAGAUGAGCCUGUGUCCAAGAUCCUCUCCCACGUGGAGGAGGGGAACGUGGUACAGCUGGACCGCUGGGACCUCCACGCUGAGCCCAACCCCGAGGCAGGGCCUGAGGACCGAGAUGAAGGCGCCACCGACCGGUUGCCCCUGGAUGUCUUCAACAACUACUUCAGCCUGGGCUUUGAUGCCCACGUCACCCUGGAGUUCCACGAGUCUCGAGAGGCCAACCCAGAGAAAUUCAACAGCCGCUUUCGGAAUAAGAUGUUCUACGCCGGGACAGCUUUCUCUGACUUCCUGAUGGGCAGCUCCAAGGACCUGGCCAAGCACAUCCGAGUGGUGUGUGAUGGAAUGGACUUGACUCCCAAGAUCCAGGACCUGAAACCCCAGUGUGUUGUUUUCCUGAACAUCCCCAGGUACUGUGCGGGCACCAUGCCCUGGGGCCACCCUGGGGAGCACCACGACUUUGAGCCCCAGCGGCAUGACGACGGCUACCUCGAGGUCAUUGGCUUCACCAUGACGUCGUUGGCCGCGCUGCAGGUGGGCGGACACGGCGAGCGGCUGACGCAGUGUCGCGAGGUGGUGCUCACCACAUCCAAGGCCAUCCCGGUGCAGGUGGAUGGCGAGCCCUGCAAGCUUGCAGCCUCACGCAUCCGCAUCGCCCUGCGCAACCAGGCCACCAUGGUGCAGAAGGCCAAGCGGCGGAGCGCCACCCCCCUGCACAGCGACCAGCAGCCGGUGCCAGAGCAGUUGCGCAUCCAGGUGAGUCGCGUCAGCAUGCACGACUAUGAGGCCCUGCACUACGACAAGGAGCAGCUCAAGGAGGCCUCCGUGCCGCUGGGCACUGUGGUGGUCCCAGGAGACAGUGACCUAGAGCUCUGCCGUGCCCACAUUGAGAGACUCCAGCAGGAGCCCGAUGGUGCUGGAGCCAAGUCCCCGACAUGCCAGAAACUGUCCCCCAAGUGGUGCUUCCUGGACGCCACCACUGCCAGCCGCUUCUACAGGAUCGACCGCGCCCAGGAGCACCUCAACUAUGUGACUGAGAUCGCACAGGAUGAGAUUUAUAUCCUGGACCCUGAGCUGCUGGGGGCAUCGGCCCGGCCUGACCUCCCAACCCCCACUUCCCCUCUCCCCACCUCACCCUGCUCACCCACGCCCCGGUCACUGCAAGGGGAUGCUGCACCCCCUCAAGGUGAAGAGCUGAUUGAGGCUGCCAAGAGGAACGACUUCUGUAAGGUACUAGCUCCAGGCUCCAGUUCCUUCCCCCAGCAGCUCCCUCGGGCCCUGGGGAGCGAGGCCUCUGGGUUGGGCCAAGAGCUGACCUGCUCAGGUGCUGUCAUCUGUCAUCGUCUGGCCCUCUGUGGGAUCUCCAGUGAUCGUCCCAUUCCACUUCACUGUAUCUCUGUCUAGGCCACAAUAGAUGGCUCCUAGUAGGGGCUUCCUAGCUCAGUCCACUUGUCCCUGGUGCUUAGAAAGGAGCAGGUCAGAGGAAGCACUGCUCCAGGGCUUGGUCACCAAUGCUGCCAGAGAGCCCACAGGCUGUGGGGUGAGAGGCCCACAGAGGCAACUCGGGAGUAAGAUGUGUGAGCGCACUCGUUUCAGGCCUGUGCUGGUGUACCCGGCUGUGGGCCAGCGUGUGAGCUCGGGGAAGGAGGGGUGGCCCCAGGAGGUCCAGCCCUGCCAUGCCUCCUGCCCUCAGCUCCAGGAGCUGCACCGAGCUGGGGGCGACCUCAUGCACCGAGACGAGCAGAGUCGCACGCUCCUGCACCACGCAGUCAGCACUGGCAGC
This 2971-nucleotide small RNA is filed under the name Pan troglodytes (chimpanzee). RNAcentral describes it as "retained intron". Lineage: Eukaryota; Metazoa; Chordata; Mammalia; Primates; Hominidae. The record is from RNAcentral.